This 495-nucleotide ribosomal RNA is filed under the name uncultured bacterium. RNAcentral's name for it is "partial 16S ribosomal RNA". It matches the Rfam family "Bacterial small subunit ribosomal RNA", at positions 28 to 507 of the family's 1533-position model. The record is from RNAcentral.
GACGAACGCUGGCGGCGUGCCUAAUACAUGCAAGUAGAACGCUGAAGGCGGACCUUGCUUCUCUGGUUGAGUUGCGAACGGGUGAGUAACGCGUAGGUAACCUGCCUGGUAGCGGGGGAUAACUAUUGGAAACGAUAGCUAAUACCGCAUAAUAUCUACUACUGCAUGAUAGUCAGUUGAAAGGUGCAACUGCUCCACUUCCAGUUGCACCUGCGGUGCUUUAGCUUGUUGGUGGGGUAACGCCUCGCCAUGGCGAGGAUGCAUAGCCGACCGGAGAGGGUGGGCAGCCGCACUGGGAGGGUGACACGGCCCAUAGGCCUACAGGUGGCAGCAGGAGGGAAUCUGCGGGAAGGGGCGGAAGACUGACCGAGCAACGCGGCAGGAGGGAGGAAGGUUGUCGGAUCGUAAAGCUCGGUUGUAGGGGAAGAACGAGUGUGAGAGUGGAAAGCUCACACUGUGACGGUAACUGACCAGAAAGGGACGGCUAACUACGUG